RNA transcript from Oncorhynchus kisutch (coho salmon), 4399 nucleotides. It is a transcript of the gene named zinc finger protein RFP-like, with no coding region annotated. NCBI's taxonomy places the organism in Eukaryota, Metazoa, Chordata, Actinopteri, Salmoniformes, Salmonidae. The transcript is spliced from 7 exons. The record is from RefSeq and is a predicted model, not a curated record.
UUUUAUAACUCUGUCCUGGGUAAAGUCCAUCACAUUAGUAUGUGUAAUUUACCUGCUCUGUUCGACAAUAUAGGACUCAAACUUGUUCUAACUUUCUACAACUGCAAGAUCGCAGCUCCGAAGAGCAGGAGGAAACUGCAUCCUCAGAUUUUGAAAGCACAUCUGACCAAACACAACUGAAGUAUGCUGCUCCCUUCAGAAGCCAUUACAGAAGAUCGUGACAGCGAUUUCUUAAAGAAAAUGGCUUCCAAACAUUCUCUCCAAGAAAAGGAUUUCUCCUGUCCAGUGUGCAGUAAUCUUCCGGGAUCCUGUAAUCCUGUCAUGUAGCCACAGCUUUUGUAAAGUCUGUCUCAGUGAAAUCUGGAAACAAAAGGAUUCUCUGGAAUGUCCAAUUUGCAGCAGAAUGUCCUCAAAGGAAGAACCUCCUCGUAACCUAAUUGUAAAGGAACUGUGUGAGGCCUUCUUAGAGGAGAAGAAUCGGAGAGAAUCAGCAGGGCCUGAGGGGCUCUGCUUUCUGCACCACGAUAAACUCAAACUCUUCUGUCUGAAUGAUAAACAGCCAGUGUGUUUUGUGUGUCAUACUUCUAAAAAAAAACAUGCAAACCACAAUUUCUGUCCCAUGGAUGAAGCUUCACAGGAUUUGAAGGAGGAACUCAAGACUUUAUUGAAGCCCUUACAGAAGAAGUUUGAGAUCUUCCAUAAAGUGAAACUAGCCUGCCAUCAAACAGUAACCCAGAUUAAAGCUACAAGCAGAGGACACAGAAAGGCAGAUUAAAGGGGAGUUUGAGAAGAUACACCAGGUGCUUCGAGAGGACGAGGAGGCCAGGUUAGCUACUCUGAAGGAAGAAGAGAAGCAGAAGAGUCACUUGAUGAAGAAGAAGAUUGAUGAGAUGAUCGGAGGGUUAUCAUCACUUUCAGACACAAUCAAAGCAAUGGAGGAGGAGUUGAAAGCAGAAGAUAUCUCAUUCCUUCAGAACUACAAGGUCACAGUGAAAAGGUAAGUGACCCGCCUCUUCACUCUCUCUUCUCUGAGGUUCUUAACCUAAGGGUGCCAAGGAUGUUCUUAACCCAACCCCACAGUUGAACUAACUCCUGAAUAUUCUUCCAGAGCCCAGUGCACACUGCCGGAUCCAGAGAGGGUUUCAGGAGCAUGGAUCCAUGUGGCCAAGCACCUUGACAACCUGCACAGAUUUUGUGGGAAGAUGCAGGACAUUGUUGAAGUGUUUGCUCACUAUACUGCCGUGACUCUGGAUCCCAAGACUGCCCACCCAUCUCUCAUCUUGUCUGAUGAUCUGACCACUGUGAGACUUGGUGAUGGGAUGCAGAAGCAUCCUGUCAACCCAGAGAGGUUUCAUAACAAUAGAAUGGUCCUGGGCUCUGACGGCUUUAACUCAGGGACACACAUCUGGGAUGUUGAGGUUGGGAACAGUGUAGACUGGACCCUGGGUGUGGUUACAGAGACUGUCCGGAGGAAGGGAGGAAUACGCAGUGGACUCUAGGGUCUAAAUUAUAAAUCAGGUGAAUACAGGGCAUAUUCCCUACCCAAAUCAACCAUUCCCUUCACGUUGGGCCAGAGACCCAAGAGGAUCCGAGUGCAGCUGGACUGGGAAAGAGGAAAGCUGUCAUUCUAUGACCCUUUAAAUAACUCACACCUACACACAUUCACACACACUUUCGCUGAGAGAGUUUUUCCCUGCCUUGGUAAUCGAUGUAAACACCAGCCUCUAAAGACCUUGCCAUGGUCUCUGUAACAGUGGAACAACAUAGUUAGAGCUGAUAGGCCUCUUGUCUAGGAACAGCACAGUUAGAGCUGAUAAGGAAGAUAUAAUGUCUCAUAUCACAACUUUAAAGGUGAAAUAUGUAACCUAUUGGGCGACCUGACCAACUUCACAUAGAAUGGUAAGUGUUAGAUCUGCAAUUCUCAUUGAAAGAAAGUCUAAGAAGCGGAAGAGCUGUUCUUUGUGCGCUACUUCUAUGCUUCCCGUUCCUAAGUUUAGUUUUUGUAUAUUUUACUUUCGGUCUUGCACACCAACUUCAAACAGCUGAAAACACAAUCUUUUUGGUUAUGAAAAGAUAUUUCACAGCGGUUGAGAUGGUACAAUUAUUCUCUACACUGUACAUUGCUUGUUUUGUCACAUAAACUGAAAUUAUGUGAAAUAUUCGAAUUUUGGCAACUAGGAAAUGGGAGAGCGAUUUCUGCGCCUUUAAAUCGAGCACCUACUGAUAUUAUAAAGACUUGACUGAUUUGAACUUAAUGCUUAAACUGUUGAUAAAGCACGAGAGUAAAACUGACACCUAGUCCAAAUGUAGUCGAGUAUAAUCAUGUUUCUUAUUUGUAUUAUGUAAGAUUGAUUUGUUAAUUAUUUGCUCUUAUUGCCUUAAGUAUAUGACCAAUUGCAUGGAAACACAAAGCCACACUGUAACUGUCAUUCCCUAUUACAUGAUUCAACCAAAUACAUUCUAUUGUUUAGUUUUGUUUGGUCUAUGAGAGUGGAAUAAACACAGUUAAAGUUGCUGCUGUUUUACCAUAACGUUACAUUCCCCCACUAGCCUAACCCACUUCCACGAUUUCAUCUUCUCAAAACUAGUAUAGCAUACUUUUCGACACAAGGUUUCUUCAGAAAUAUGUGCUUUUCCAGUUUAGACCGGUGGUGGUAGGAAAGUCUACAGCUUGCAGAGGGAGAUAGAGAGUCACUGGCCAGGGUCAGGCAAGGGUCACUAAUAACUCUCAAUUAGAGAGGAAUAUUCAGUAAAUAAAGAAUAGUUGGCUAAACCUAACUGUGCUUAAUUCAAGGAUGUUGCAUUGGAAUGUCCCAAAGUUUAAUUUCCACCUCUGAUGUGUUUGUAUAUGGCAAGUGAUAAGUCAUCAAGACAUAAAAUACUAAACAAUACAUGGGACUGGCUUUGUAGAACUGUGAAUUCUGUCCUGGGUAAAGGCUCUCACACUGUAGAAUUCAGCUUGUAUUAGCUGCAGGUGUAAUUUACCUGCUGUGUUCGACAUUGGAUACGAUAUAGGAAUCAAAGUUAUUCUAACUUUUUUUUAUGACUACAUGAUAGCAACUCCUAAGAGAAAGAUAAAACUGCAUCAAUAUGAGAUUUGAAAGCACACCUGGCUAAACAAGACUGAAGUAUACUGCUCCCUUCAGACACAGUCAGAGCCGUAGAGGAGCUGAAAGCAGAAGGGAUCCCAUUCUGGCAGGUAAGAACCAACAGUUCUGUGACAAGAAGAUAUUAUUUGAGAUACAUUUAUCGAUGAACUGAUUUCAUCUCAUGUAUUAUGAGGAUAUAUUACUCAGUUGGUCUUUGUGCUCCUACAGAACUAUAGUCCUUUAAUUCAUUGCCACUUACUCAGCUGGGCCAGGGGCGCAUUAAUUAGGUCAGGUGGAAAUGUCCGACAGAUCUCAACUCCAUAAAAGGAGGAAAUUGCCAUCGCCUGAUCUCACUGCUUUCUCUUCCUUAACUCCGUCUGAUCAAGAAGUUUUGUGCGUCCAUGAAUCCACCGACUCUGUUACCUUUCAUCUGAACUAUCUGUGGCGAUCGGGGGAGUGGGCCAUCAGUUAUUGCUUAUAGUUAUUACCGCGUAGCGCGGCUUGGAGCGCACGCUUCAAACAUAUUGUGUAAUGUGAAUUGUCAAUGAUCAUGGCCCUACGGAUCCUCGUAGGCCAAUUAUGCAAUCGAUAUGGUUAAUAUGUAAUGAAAUUAAUUAUAUGUACACAUGAAGACAAUUGAAAGGGUGAAAUGAGAAACGUCAUUGUUUGCUGAACUGAUCGACUUUGAUAUCAAACUAAUGGGCACUAUAGAUUGAAUAACCAUUCACUGUUUGUAUUAUUUCAUGAUUUAUGAUAAAUAGUUACGAGCCUAAAUGACUUACGGAUGAUUACUAUUGACUUCUUAAUGAACUGGACUGUUGAAUUCCCUAAAUUAUGUUAAUAAUGAAUAUGAAUUGAUCGUUGAUUAUGAAUUUGAUUGGAUACAUGUUAUUUUGUUUCCUUUAUUAUGCAGCACAGACUACUCAGUAAAUAUACCACUUUAUGGUUAAAGGAAAUCCUGCCUCAGUCUCAUCCAUUCCUCUGUCACCUGACAAGUGACCACCUGUUCACCUUCACUGUCAGUCAUCCUACCUGUCCAGCUACCCACACAGAUUCCACUAAUCUUUCACCUACAGUGAAAGCAAGAGCCCAGUGCACACUGCUGGAUCCAGAGAGAGUUUCAGGAGCACUGAUCCAUGUGGCCAAGCACCUUGACAACCUGAUUCUGUGGGAAAAGUGUGUGUUUGCUCAAUACAUGAUUUCACCCACACACCGCUACUGUUCUGGACUCCAAGACUGGCCACCCAUCUCUGAAUUUGUCUUAGGAUUUGACCAGUGUGAGACUUGGGCAUGGGACAUAUCAGCUUCUU